GCAUUUUGUGAAAAAACUGCGGGUCUACGGAGUGGGAACUUUUCGGAUUUUAACUCAGCGUGUUCGAAAGUGUUAGUUCCCGUAAAAUAUUUCAGAUCUAAGACAUGCAUCAUGAAAGUGAACGAUAUCGGGUCACAACACGCGGACUAAUAUGUCAGGUUAGUAUAUUUCAUUCUGGGUUUAAGUAUUGUAUAGUUAUUAUCUAUUACCAUUCUGUUUUCCUCUGAGUUCAGUAUUGCAACAUUUUUCAUUGAGAACCUAAUCGUUGGUGAGGCUGUAGGCCGAGAUCUAAUGUGGUAAUUCGACAAGUCCAGAUUUGACUUCCGCUACCUCUCGCAAGAUUAAUAGGUAUUCGAUUGGUUAGUCUGGUAGAUUAAAUGCAUGUGAUUGGUCAUUGGUAAUGGUGGUCAAAAUCUGAACCCUUUCUAAUAGUGAGCAGAAGCUACGGAACCAUGAAUUUGACAAAUUUGCGUAGAUAACAAAUUACUGGUCAGUAAGUGUGACGGUACGAACUAAGCAUUGUUGCAUCAUUGAAGUUAAGGCAUUCUAUGUCCUAUAUGUCAUAUUCUAUUCCAUUCUAUGUCAUAUUCUAUUCCAUUCUAUGUCAUAUUCUAUUCCAUUCUAUGUCUAGCCUACGCCGACAACGCAGGCUAUUCUAUGUCACAUUCUAUUCCAUUCUAUGUCAUAUUCUAUGUACAGAAAACACACGCACACACCAUGGCUUGCGUCGCUGCUGCGUGACCUUUGCGUGAGGCCGCGUGGAUUAAUUUGCGUGUCCUUACCCUUGGGGUACGUAGUGCGAGGCAGACAUUCACCUGGCAUUCCCACCGAGAAAAUGGGAAGCUAACUUAUUCUAUUUUUUACUCAGGUAGACAUCCUGGUGAAUAUUUUGCAGUUCUUUAAGAAGUACUAAGAUCAUUUUUGCUGAAAGCUGGGACGUCGUUUUCUCGUAAUUUUCCAGCGGCCAACAAUAGAAUAAUAUAAUGUAGUUUAAAAAAUACAGAACUAGAAUUACAACGUAAGAAUUAGUAUAAUUCCACAAACAAAAGUUUCUGGAUUACUAGAAGCAUUAAAUUAAUAACAAAACGAAACUAUUAUUAAGUUAAUCCAUGGCCACGCAAGUUAACUUUGUAUUCGCAACAUGAAAAGUUGGCGUUUGAAUCAUGCGUUUGUUCAUGAUCUGAGCAUACCUUGCAUGAACACGAGUCAUUCGUACAUAUAUUGAAUGUAUUUUAAAAUGUAAUCGUAUUUUUUAGUCAAAACCAACUGUAUUACAGUAAUAGCAGGGUGUGAUAAUUCAUGAUUUAUAGUCGUACCUGACUGGUACUCCAAUGAUCAUUGUCGAGUACUUGAGUAAACAAAGACUCGAGGUGUACUUAGUGUUUAAAAUGAAGUACAUAAAGUGCAGGUUUCUGAAAGAUAUUCAGUAACCUAAAACUAUGAGUAUUAAUUUUUCAUUCUGAUCAUGUCGGACUUUAUGCACAUUUACCGACCAAAUUACUAUAAUUUUGAAAUGGUGAUUCCUUGUUUUAGUAACUACGGGUCUUGGAAAACUCAUAUGGUACAAGGAAAAUGUAAAUACGCAGAUAGCAAGAGUUCCGCGUACCUACGUGGUACUUAAGUACGAGAAUUAUCGCACCCUGAGUAAUAAUUGCUUUUCAACAGCAUAUUGUAGUUUUUGCAGUGUCCACCCUUAUUAAUAUACAAAAUAACGCACGACAGUAAUGAGUUCGUAUAAUAAGCACGUAAUGAUGUUUACCUUCAGUUUGUAAUUUUGUAUUAAUUAUAUAACCACCGAAGC
RNAcentral lists this long non-coding RNA (1801 nucleotides) under Paramuricea clavata. Lineage: Eukaryota; Metazoa; Cnidaria; Anthozoa; Malacalcyonacea; Plexauridae. The record is from RNAcentral.